Long non-coding RNA from Zalophus californianus (California sea lion), 675 nucleotides. RefSeq lists it as uncharacterized. The transcript is spliced from 3 exons. The record is from RefSeq and is a predicted model, not a curated record. Lineage: Eukaryota; Metazoa; Chordata; Mammalia; Carnivora; Otariidae.
AAGUUGCUGCAGAGCCGGGGAAGUGGGGGGCACAGGCCUGCGCGGGAAACAAACAGCCGCUUGUCUCCCUCCGCACAGCCACCCUGGCUCACCCGCCGAGCCCGCCGGCUUCCGCAGUGACUCCUGCGGCCGCAAAACGCGGGCUGAGCGGGCCGGAGGGAUGGUUCGCAAACUUGCGUGUGAACUUGCGGAGAAGGACCGUUGGAGAGAAGCACCGGCGUCGGCUCCUCUGAGCCAGGCCGGGGGCGGGGCUGGACUGGAUAAGAGGGGCUUCCCUUCUGACCCACAAUGGUUCUCUAAUUGGGAAGAAUGGACGACUCAAUAGUGAUCCUCCAGUUCAGGAACGUGAAUGGGCCUGGAAGUGGCUAUGCAGCCACCUGUCUUCAGCACUGUGAAAGUCUGGCCUGUCUCAUUUACCAUCAGGGGCAUGAGGCCUGUCAACCAACGGCGUGUUUUGCUGGAUGGGCUCCCAACUGUUGGCUCAUUGAAGAACUUCUGACAGACUUCGGGGUCGCUGUUCCUUCUAGGCUACUUGGCUAAGAAGUCAUCUUGGAUGAAAAUCCAUUAUAUCAUAACACUGCCCCACCCCCUCGGCAAGGGCUGGUCCUGUGACCAAUAAAUUACCACAAGCUAUCUAGGUGAUUAAAAGCUGAUAGAUGAAUAAAGACUAUUUUA